Taeniopygia guttata (zebra finch) is the source of this 1685-nucleotide long non-coding RNA. NCBI's taxonomy places the organism in Eukaryota, Metazoa, Chordata, Aves, Passeriformes, Estrildidae. The record is from Ensembl.
CUUCACAGUCCUUUUGCCAAUUUGAGAGGAAUAAUGCUAUACCCAGUGGUAUCAAAGGCUGUGCUGAGAUCCAACCAACAGCAAAUACUCAUUUCCUAGUUUUCGUUGCAUAUUUAGUUAUCUUUACAACAUAACCACAGGAAUUAUUCCCUGGUCUCUCUAAGGACUACUCCACAUUAAAACUAUAAAUGAUGCUGUAAGUCAGGUAUUGUAGAAAAUGUCUGAAAGAAUAUGAACAGAAAGAAAUUGUAAACAGCCCCUUUCUUGUGUACUUUGUCUACAGAUGCUGACAGACACAAAAUCAUUCAAGUGGCUUUGCUGCAAGAAGGCUCCUGGAUUCAGAAUACCCACUCCACUCCUGGUAAAGAAAAGAUGUCCAUGGGUCCCCACUGCUCAUCCUUGGUACACACCGGAACCAUCCUCGGGGCAGAUCUUCAUCGGGUGUCAGAGAAAUGGCAAAGCCGUUUCAUUCAGGCACCUUGAGAAGGGCAAAUAGGAUUUGUUGACACAGAGGAGUGGCUGCAGUUUGUAAAUUCAAGAAUCGUUUGUCGUAGAGUACUGCUACCCUUCCUUUAACAAAGAACUUGCUGCUGCUUACUGCAUGAAAGAUAAUCUACCCAUUACUCUGUUUAUCACUUCAUUGUACUUCUCAUCCAGCUGCUGUUUCAUCUACAAGCAGUUUGAAGCAAGCAUGACGUCUUUAGAUGAUGUACUUUGAAAAGAUCCCAUUCCUGUGAAAUCCAGGUGCCCAAAGGGAAUGUUUAUGCAAAAAAUAAAAUGUAGUGACAAAACAUAAGAGUGCAGUCACAAAACGUUGAGGACAAAUACACCAGUCUGAACUGUUUCCUGGCUUUGAUGGUCCUGACUGCAUUGAUCUCUGGAAGAUUCCUUGGGUGGAACUAAGAGCUGACCCAGAGCCAGUCACCAGUAGUUCUGUAGGAGGUCUGUCCUGCAUAGAUUCAUGAUAAUGAAACAAUAGAUACAUUUUUCUUUUCCUUAAUUAAAUUAGAGUCCUGGAGGUUUAUACUCCCAAUGUGCUACAUUAAAAUCCUGCUAUAGGAUUUGCCUAGAUAUAUCCUUAAUUAUAGUAUCUUGUUGACUUCACAUUGAUGCAGCUUCCUGAGUGCAUUUGUAUUGACAAAUUUGAGUUGUAAAGGAUAACUUGGAAUCUGGGAAGUCAUAAAAAAAGAAAAGCAGCAGGGAGGUAACGUAAAGGGAGGCAGUGUAAUCUCUUUUAUAUGGCAUGCAAUGCUCGGAGUUUUAGCCCAGAGAGGUGGAGUAGUGGAGCAGGAGAUGGAGCGAUCAAACUUUCUUUACAUUGUCUACUCGACACUUUUUCUGUCGGGAGAUGACUAAACCUUAGCUAGAAAAGAAAAAGCAAUAUUCUAAUAGCUUUGAAUAUCUAAAAGGAUUGUGAAUACUAGGAUAAGAAUUGGAUAAGAAUUAAAAAUGCUCCCAAAAAGUAUACUGUUGAAUGUCUGAAGCCUGUACCAACCCUGAGCAUAUAUGUUAUUGCUUUUAUGGUUAUUUCUAAUAAUAUUACUGGAGAAGUAAAAAAUCUAAGGUGAUACUAAUGAGAAAUUAUAGAAGAGAUUGUAGGUCCACAGAUAUGGGAUCUGUGCUGCAUAGCUAAAAAGCACCAGAACUUAUGCUGCCUUUCAUUUAUAAAUGGAGGUUCUGCUGUC